Oxyura jamaicensis (ruddy duck) is the source of this 467-nucleotide long non-coding RNA. RefSeq lists it as uncharacterized. The record is from RefSeq and is a predicted model, not a curated record. The transcript has 3 exons. Lineage: Eukaryota; Metazoa; Chordata; Aves; Anseriformes; Anatidae.
GUCUCCUAUCUUUCUAUGCUGUGGCUGAUCUCUGGUGUUAGGUGUUCUAGUGAUACAGCUAUUUAUUGGAUUUUACAGAGUUCUUACUCUUUGGGAGCAGUCAUUCUGUUGACACUCAGGAGUUGCAGAACAGGACAAGAAGAGGAGGAUGAGAGUGGGGAUGCCUCAAAAAGCAAAUACUGAAAGAGGAGUAGUGAGGUACUGGAAUGAAUGCUGGGUUGUGAAGCUUGUGCAGAUUUUCAGGAACCUGUUAGAUAUUCAUUAUUUAUGUGAGAGUGGACUGCACCUGAAAGGAAAGCUGGGUGCAGCACAAUCAAAAUGCGUAAGUCUCUUUCAACCCUGUUUUCUGUGAUUCUGUAUGUCAUUCAUAUGUGCGCAAAAAAAAAUAUUUUGAGCUCUAUUAUCCAUUGUGCAUGUUUGCAUGUUUAGCCCAGUGACUUGCGAUUUUUGGUGGAAUGUAAAAAAAA